AAUCUCUAUCUAAAGAGAAAAAUUGAAGACAGUGAUUUCCAUCGGACUGGUAACGAGGAAGAAGAAGAUGAAGACCAUGAAGAAGAAGAUCUGUCGCGGCGGUCCUAGUUCCCUUCGAGUGGACCUUUUCCACCAUUUUUCUGCAUCUUGUUCUAUUUUUUCUUUAACUACGAUAACCCAAUCAAGAAAACUCAAUCAUUUCAGUCUGAAACCUUUUUUUUUCCAUUUAGUGUUCAUAUAUAGCAUUUUCUUCAUUGUAUAAUUUAUAUUUCAGGUUCAAUGUGAUCAUUUUGAAGACUUCUUUUUUGCAUUUGAGCUGGAUAAAUAUGUCUAUGAAGCCUUGUUCAAAAGGAAAACAGCAGAGGUUGGUUAAAUCAUCUAUUGAGUUGGCCUAAAAUCUUUCUGUCAUUUACGAUGCUAUUGUUUUGUGCAGGUUUUCAGUGGAAAUAUCAACUGCUCAUAAGAAAACUUCCCUAAAUCGAUUGGUCAAGUUGGAUUUUCUGUGAUUUGUGAUUAUUUUUAUUUUCUUAUCUUCUUGACUUAGUUAAUUUUGUGCAGUUUGAUCAAAUUUUCUUUCUUUUGUAUUUUCGUAUGUUAUCUAUGUGCUUUUAGAUCGGUGUAGUAAUCCUAAUAUCUUUAAUCGCCACAAACAAGUAUGUAUUGUUUGAUUUUUGUUUCAAGGGAAGUUCAUUAUGUUAUUUUUAUGUAAUUUUGAGUUGGAGCACGCAGAUCCCAAAAAUACAUAGUUUCUCCUCCGAAAAUGACUUUUCCGGUUGGGGAUCGCAUUAGAUAUUCACCUAAACACAUAAAGAAGAUAAAAAAAAUGUCCAGAUUUUUCUCAGAUUCCGUUUUCCAAACAUUGAAGGUUUCUUUCUCAAUUUGGGACAACAUUGGGGACUCAGGUGCUCUUAUUCUUGCUUCCCUUAUGCUUCAGACUUAUCCAAUGAAGCCAAACAGGUCAAGAAAAAAAAAACCACAACUUCUUUAUAUCUUGUCCUAAGGAUCAGAACAAAUUGGCAUAUUACUACUAAGUAUAUAGUCGAGAUGUAUUUAGAUACUUCCAAGGUUUGCCUUGAUUGGAAGUCUAAACUGAUUAGGAAGGCUGUAGAGUGC
RNAcentral lists this long non-coding RNA (1113 nucleotides) under Olea europaea subsp. europaea. Lineage: Eukaryota; Viridiplantae; Streptophyta; Magnoliopsida; Lamiales; Oleaceae. The record is from RNAcentral.